AUUGAACGCUGGCGGCAGGCCUAACACAUGCAAGUCGAGCGGAUGAAGGGAGCUUGCUCCUGGCUUCAGCGGCGGACGGGUGAGUAAUGCCUAGGAAUCUGCCUUGCAGUGGGGGAUAACGUCCGUUCACGGGCGCUAAUACCGUAUCCGUCCUGAUGUAGAACGUGGGGGUUCUUCGGACCUCACGCUAUCAGCUGAGCCUAGGUCGGAUUAGCUAGUUGGUGAGGUAAAGGCCUACCAAGGCGACGAUCCGUAACUGGCCUGAGAGGAUGAUCAGUCACACUGGAACUGAGACACGGUCCAGACUCCUACGGGAGGCAGCAGUAGGGAAUCUUCGGCAAUGGGCGAAAGCCUGACCGAGCAACGCCGCGUGAGUGAUGAAGGUCUUCGGAUCGUAAAGCUCUGUUAAUAGGGAAGAAGAAAAGUAUAAGUAAACAUGGCUGUCUUGACGGUACCUAAAGAGAAAGCCACGGCUAACUACGUG
This 484-nucleotide ribosomal RNA is filed under the name uncultured bacterium. Its description in RNAcentral is "partial 16S ribosomal RNA". It matches the Rfam family "Bacterial small subunit ribosomal RNA", at positions 30 to 507 of the family's 1533-position model. The record is from RNAcentral.